Cavia porcellus (domestic guinea pig) is the source of this 1201-nucleotide long non-coding RNA. RefSeq lists it as uncharacterized. The record is from RefSeq and is a predicted model, not a curated record. The transcript has 2 exons. Lineage: Eukaryota; Metazoa; Chordata; Mammalia; Rodentia; Caviidae.
UAGAGGCGGGGGUGGGGCGAGACAGGAGUGGGAGCGAUAGGUGUGUGGCGCUGCGCAGUAUAAGCAGGAAAAAGAGGAGCCAAAAUGGCAAUGAAGCGGGGUCAGGAGAGGGUUCAGGACAAGCCUACCGGACCAGCAGAGAAGGGCGGGGCCCAGGGUCUGGAACAGCUCUGGAUGGCCUCCAGUGCAGAUCUUCCUGGCGUGGUGUGCAGUGCUGGGAUAACAAGCACAUGCCAUGCUAGUGGUUCCCAUGCAGCCUGCACCCUGUGUGGUGGCCUGGAAUCCAGGGCCUAGCUAAGCAUGUGCUGCACCCAAGCUGCAUGAAACAACCCCAUGAAACCUGCCCCCCCCCCACCUCAGCAACUCCUGCUUUCUAGUAGCCACUUCUGUGACCCUCACAUGACAUCAGACCGACCUGUAGUGUGGUAUCAGCAGCGCUGGAGUGCAUCCAGUUCCAGGUGAGGGGUGCACAGCCUGCACUCAUACUUUGUGGGCUCCUUAUCCCCCAAUCCCCUACCCCAAGCCCUGGGCUGUGAAGAGUCUGUGUGAUGUCUCAAGGGCAGCAAUGCCCCUGCUUCAUGUGAGCGUAACUCCUGCACAACCAGGUCACAGGCACUUUAUCUUUAUUUCAGCUCUGGGCAGGUGCCCCAGGUCCCAGUGUCCAUGUCUGGGAGCUUUAGGGCCUGCAAAGAGCAUGGGCCAUAGCUGUGGGUCUGCAGGAACGGACAGCUUCAGGCCAGGGCAUGGUCCUGAGUCACAAAGCUGGCCUCUUCCAGGCCCUGGUACCCAAGGCACAAAGGGACAGAGGUGUGGCGGCCACACGAUCUCCCUGGGGUGCAGAUUGGUGCUGCUCCAGGCAAGGUCACCCAGCUCAUGUCCUGUGACUCUCAGAGGGCUCUGGUGCUUCCUAGAAUGUACCUUGGUAAGGAGGCUGAGCCUACUGCAAGUGCGGGUCCCCUGUCCAAGAUAGCUGAGCUGGCCCCAGAGUCCAAAGCUCCUGUACUGUGCACAGUCCCCGUGGCCACUCCAAGGAGACUAUAGUGUGGCUGCCGCUGUGGUCUCUGCUCUGCCAGGGCCCAGGUUACAGGGAUGCACCCAGCCUUAAUAGCAAAGUCUGAAUGUACAGUAUAAAACAAUUUGGUCUCCCAUUAAGCUGUUACAGUUUCAAGUUAUGUAAACCACGUACAAAGUUAUAAAAACG